CUUCAGCGAGCCGAGCCAGAGCGGCUGGUCGGCUGCCCGCCCCUUGCCGUACGUGGCGAGCAGCGCCUGGGCCUC
This 75-nucleotide antisense RNA is filed under the name Kitasatospora sp. Root187. RNAcentral describes it as "ASpks TB sRNA". It matches the Rfam family "ASpks TB sRNA". Lineage: Bacteria; Bacillati; Actinomycetota; Actinomycetes; Kitasatosporales; Streptomycetaceae. The record is from Rfam by way of RNAcentral.